RNAcentral lists this ribosomal RNA (253 nucleotides) under uncultured prokaryote. RNAcentral's name for it is "partial 16S ribosomal RNA". It matches the Rfam family "Bacterial small subunit ribosomal RNA", at positions 525 to 777 of the family's 1533-position model. The record is from RNAcentral.
ACGAAGGGGGCUAGCGUUGUUCGGAUUUACUGGGCGUAAAGCGCGUGUAGGCGGGUCGUUAAGUUGGGGGUGAAAUCCCGAGGCUCAACCUCGGAACUGCCUUCAAAACUGGCGACCUGGACUCAAGCAGAGGCAAGUGGAAUUGCGAGUGUAGAGGUGAAAUUCGUAGAUAUUCGCAGGAACACCAGUGGCGAAGGCGACUUGCUGGGCUUGUGGUGACGCUGAGACGCGAAAGCGUGGGGAGCAAACAGGA